Molecule: long non-coding RNA, 9603 nt
Filed under: Panax ginseng (ginseng)
Lineage: Eukaryota; Viridiplantae; Streptophyta; Magnoliopsida; Apiales; Araliaceae
Description: long non-coding RNA (PGIN_LNC011060)
Source: RNAcentral
UUACAAUUAUCAUUAUUAUUAUUAUAAUUAUUACUAUUAGAAUUAAUAUUACUAUUAUAAUUAUAAUAUAAUUAUAAUAAUUAUUAUACUAUUAUUAUUGUUACUCACAUUUCCCCUUCUAGAAAGAAUCUGGGGAGUAAAAUUCUACUAAAGUAAUUUAAAAAUAAUUUUGUCGAGGAAAUUGGAAAAAUGGUAAAUGUGAAAAGCGGUAGGUGAGGUGAGGCUCAGAUCUGUAAUGUAUCAGGCAAGAGGGUGACACCGCCAUGGCUGCAACCAACAGUUGCAUGAAAAGGAAAGAAGAUUAGGUUAACCAAUCCAUCGAUCUCUCACAUACCCUCCGGGUUGCCCCGCCAAGAUACGGGUCACAUUCUCUCACUGCCCGAUUGGACUCAGAAAAAUUGAUUCAUCAUCACAGCCUCUUGAAUAUUUGUAGGAUCCGUUAUUUUAGGAAAGGAAGGAGUAUAUAUAUAUAUAGUAGUACAGCAGCAGAAGCUGAGUUCACACGCACGCACGCACAAAAGGGUUGUUGAUUUAACUAUCUGCAAAAAUGAAAUCAUAGGCCCAAUAAAUGAAGGAUCGGAAGAAGAUCACACAAAUUUAACAGAGGGGGCAACCACCCUUUGAAACAUCCCUUCCCUCUGGAGCCUCAUUCUUUUUUCUGAGUUUUAUAAACCCUAACCCUUUCCUCCAACAACUGUAUUUAUAGUGCCUGUGUUUUGCUUUUCUUCCCCGUUUUGACCUCCUGAUGGAGGCAUGACAUGAGGCGGCCAGAGCAAGAGAAUUUGGUUAGUUUUGUUUUUUUCACUACAAAAAAUACUGUACAAAAUAAUUUGUUUGAAUAUAAAUAUAUUACUCAUGGGUGGACCCAAUAUUUAUAAUCAUAUUAUGUGAGGUACGGGACGGACGGCAUAUAUGCUAUGCUAUGCUAUGCUAUCAAAUUCAAGGCUACUGGUCAAUAACAAAUCAUAUAAAGCCUCUGAAAAAUAAAAUACUUUGGUAGAGAAUUGUUAGCUUGUUUAAUUUUCCUUCUGUUUUUAACAAUACGAGGUAUGAACGAACACCCCAGUUCCGGUUGCCAUUUGAUCUCCACAAGUUCAAAAUCCAGGUGGGUACUGAAUUACAAUUCUCACUUUCUGUCCAGUCAAAAUAGCUUUGAUCCGGUUGAGAGAAGCUGUAAUUUGAGCUACUUUUUCUCGCCCACAAAUGCUUAGAACUGUCCAUUCUAGAAUCAUCAUUUUCAUCGGCUGUGUUGAUCAAUAAAAGAAUUCGCCUUUCAAGUUAAUUCGGCAUUUGGCUGGAUUGGAAAGGAAUGUAAUGGUAUGAAUUGAAUUGAAUUGAAUAGAAUUGAAGAAUGAAGAGUAUUAAUUUGGGAGAUCUGGCUAUGUAGGUAUGGGUUACCCCACUUACCCUUAAAUGAAGGGAUAAUUGACGAAAGUUGCUUAAUUUGGUUUUUAGUCAGAUCAAUGGGUAGAUGGGUUGGUGAGGUUUCUCCAAAUGGAUACAUAUUCAUCGAAUAUGUGAAGUUUCGUUACUCAGUGCAAUACUUUUCUCCAGUCAACUGCUAUUUGUUUUGUGUUAUGCAGUUUAUGAUAGAAAUACCAUCAAUAAAUUUUUGCAGAUCCCAACCAAUGAGAAUGGCUUCAAUUUGAAAUUUUCAAGAGAGGUAAUUGGUGGUGUAAGUUUGAUGGAGUUGUGGAUGAUGAGAGGUUUGGUGGGUUACUAGGAAUUGGGAAUAACAAUUUGAUUGUUGGCAGUGGUCCUUGGAGAGGAGAAGAUUAGGGAUUGGAGAUUAGAGAAUUGUAGAGAAGACUUUUGGAUCGUGGCUCUGAUACCAUUAACAAAGAAGAGAAGAUGGAAGAAUUAUAUUGUAUUCCACACUCUAUACUGAUACAAUUACAUGUAUAUAUAUUCACCAAUGAUACUCAAAACCAUCUAAACUAGGAAAGAUUACAGACAAAUAUAAACAGAAUAUUUGAACAGAUCUGUUGCACUAAUUAAGGUACUCAAAUUAUUCUUCCGAGUCAGUCGGCCUUUGUUCCCGGCUUUGGAUGGUUUGGAUGGGUUUGUAAUUUGUUGCACUAAUUAAUGUUUUUUUUUAUAUAAAAAAAUGUUAUCAACUUUAUUCAUCAAACUGCAAGUACAAUCCGUUAAUCAUGCGCAGUUGGUCAUAGUUGCCGUUUCAGACGAAGAAAAGUAAAAUCCCACGACUUUCGUUUAACAUUAAUUAGGAGUAUAACUAACUAUUCUUGUUAAGCUAACACCGAGAAGUUUUCAUAAAUACUACUCCCUCCGUUUCUAAUAUAAAUCGUUUUAAAAAAAUAUUUUUAUGUCUUAAUAUAAAUUGUUUAAAAAUUUCAAGUAAGCAUUAAUUACUUAGUUUUUAAUAUUAUUAUAAAUAUUAAAUAUAAUUUUAAUUUUCUCACUAUUUUCUGUCCAAUAAAUAACAAUCUCUUAUUUCAAAUAAUAUAGACAAUUGAUAUCAUAGUUAAUGUUAUAUAAUUAUUAUCUUAAUACUUAUGCACAAUCUUAAAACGACCCCUAUUAACAGAGGGAGUACUAAUUAAGUAGGACUUUGACGAGUAGUAUAAGAUUUAAAAGCUCCGAGUAUAAAAUAUCUUCAACUUUUACCACUAGGAAGUUGGAAAAUGAAUUAAGUUGAGCAAUGCCCUAUAGUUUCAAUAUAUAUACACUAGAAAUGCAUAAAUAUAGAUGUUAACAUCAAAAUCUUUUCACGCGCUUCAAUCACAUAACACGCGUCUAUAUCUUGCACAGUAAACACGACAACACCAAAAGCUUGACGGCUUUGACUGUCGGGGGAUAGUUCCGGCGUGAGAGUCAGUACAGGCGAUCACAAAGUUAACAAUGGAGGAUAAAAUCUCUAGUGUAUUGAGAGAGAGAGAAUUAUCAGUUAUUAGUGUGUAUACCUUUUUCUUGAAGACUUCCUUGCUAUGUUAUGCUCUCUAGCCCGGUUUACCGUGCCACCCACUACCUCUGACCCAGCCCGCUGAUCUGAUGGUUUCUGCCGACUGGGUACAGUCCACCCACUACCUGUAGUCACUGUUUGCUACCGUCGGCCGUCCAAGAAUCUCAUCCACAUUAAUGCAUGGCAGAUACAAUAGUCAACUGUCAUGUUUUUUUAUCAUUACCGGUCAAAGAUGGAGAUAUUUAAUAUUUAAUGGGUCAGCCCACUAAUCCGACCCGGUCUUAUAAGGACUCAACAGGAAUAAGAUGGUGACUAAGCCCAAAAACUUUUAGGACCCAAUAGUGGAGACCCAAUGGACUAGCCAAAUAAAUAAGCCCAACCCAUUCGGCCCAAUAGGAGAAAUAUCAUGACCCAACAUUGCCCCCUAGUUUUUUUAUUAAACAGACUGUUUAAUAGGAAACUAUAAACGAUCUAUGAUAUGAAAAUUUUAAUAGGAUCAAAAGAGGCCCAAACUGACAUCUAUCAAGGCCCAAAUGGUAAAAAAUCAAAAUAAUAAAGUAGGUAGGUUGAAACCGGAAGCCCAAUACGAAAGACCCAAACUGAUAAAUAUCUAAGGCUGGAACCGGACACUACCCCUUCUAAUUCCUCAUCAUUACCAGAAAUUAAAUGUGCCGCCUUCGUAAUUCGUGCAACUGUCAAUAUAAAAAGUAAAAUUUCCCAAAAUUGACGAUUUUACCUGCCAAUUUGAAAUUCAGACGCCUGAGCUUUUGAUUUCUCCCCUCCAAACUCUCUUCUUCUCUGCAAAGUCUCGACAAUGGUGACCCUAAAUUCUAACCAGAGUUCUCCUCUCCGUGUAACCCCAAUCACAACUGUCCCACCUAGCCCUAACCCCAUUGAAGAAGCUUCGGGCCCAAACCUUAAGGCCUCGAGUCCAAGUAAGAAAUCCCUACCUCCGAAAUCUCUUCCUAACCUCUCUGAAUUUUUCAAGAACAAAGACCAAUAUCCCCAUGUCAACACUCCUUCUGCUGUUUCUGAGAUUGAGUUGCGAAAGAUUAAAGCUCGUUAUCAUAUCCCCGACACCCAUUUAAUAAGAGCCCCCAAGCCUGAUGAGAAGAUGUACCAACGUCCAGAUGGAUGGACGGCUGUUCCAGUGACCUUACUUGAAAAGGGGGUUCGUUUCUCUCUUCACAUUUUCUUGGUUACCCUCCUAGGGUUCAUUGGUGUUGGGUUCGGCCAACUGGUUCCAAACUCAUACAUCCACAUCUUAACGUUCAUAGCUUUCUGCCAUGAAUUAGGCGUCGAACCCACCCUUGAUUUCUUCUUUACCAUUUACAGGGUUGCCCAGUCUAGAGAGAAAGGGUUUAAGGUUUUAGGCAAACAAGCACCGAAGGCGGGUGAAAAGUUCGAGAGGCGUUCUUUGAUAAACACUCUUUCGAGCAAUAGGGGAUGGCACGAGAAAUGGUUUUUUGUCAAAGGACCUGAAAUUGCCUUAUUAUCGAACUGGGCUACUGACGAAAAAGUGUCUGCAAAUUUUGGCGAUAUCUCUGACGAAAGAGUGAACGAGAUGAUAGAGCUUUUUGGGAAUUUCCCACUAGAAGAAUGGAAACAUGGACUUCUCUCCAAACAGGCAUGGCUUUAUGAUCAUAAGCGUAAGUACCGAACUACUUUUGUGCAUAUUUCUGCUAAAUCUUUAAUAACAUUGGCCUUGAUUUGUCGUUGCAUAAUCUUUGCAGUGUCUUUGAUUAAAUUAAACUCUUCAGAGGUAAAAGAGUUUGAAGACUUUUUGGCUGGGAAGACUACGGAAACAAAUGAGGAGAUCCGAACAGAAGAAUCCCCUCAAGUCAAUCCUCCCACUACUGAAACUUCCACCGUCGAUCCUCAAAUUAACAAACCACAAAUCGAUGAGCCCAUUCCACCCGAAGAAUCCCUCAAGCCCCAGCGAAGAAAGAGAGCUGCUAGGAGAUCCAGAUCCACUCGCCCAGAAACAGACCCUGAAAUAGAUCCGAAAGCGAACCCAGAGGAAAACCCUUCAUCUGCACCCACUCUCACACCUCUUGAACCUACUCCAACCAGGGGAAGUCUGUUUGACAUACCACUUCACGAACGGGCAAAAGUCCUUCAUAUCAAGAAAUUGAGGACCAAAAUCACCCCCUUAACUACUGAUGACCUCCGAGUUCCUUCCUCUUCGACCGACAUUCCUCCAACCUUCCCCACUGAAAUUCAAUUGUCAGAUGACAACGAGCCGAUCGAGCCAACCCCCACACUCUCUCACAAAAGGAAGCAACGAUCAGAUAGUCACCCAGGCUCAUCUUCUGUCCCUUCACCGAUUCGUGACCCUAUUCCUGCUCGAUCACCUUCCCCCGAAAACAUAUAUAUGGAUCCAUCACCAUCUCAUGAUCAAACCAUGCCCUCCUCCACAAGGCGUCAUCAGCUUGGCAAUCUCUUCAUCAAUGAUCCUUUGACGCUCAGGUGCAAAGAUCUGCCUUUUUUGCCGAACUGGCUUCUUUGAUAGGUCUACAUCGAGUCUGUGCUCAGCAAUCUUCCGGCUAACUCCAGGCAUAUCCUGAGGUUCCCAUGCAAAGAUAUCCGCAUAACAGCGAAGAAGUUCCAUAAGGUUUGUCCGAAAAGGUUCCGACAAACCUGAACCUAUCUUCACUGUUUUGCCCUUCUUCCCAAGGAUAAGCUCGAUCUCCUCUGUCUCUACUGCUGGCAUGACCAAUGGCUCUGAACUGCUUUCAGUGAAUGGCUCGAUCUCUAUCGCCAUGGUCUGCUUUUGCUUGCUGACCCCUACUCCCGUGGCAAUCACGGAAUUCCUAUAACAUCGUUUGGCCAGGUCUAAGUCCCCUGCUACCUUUCCAACUCCAUGGGCCAUGGGGAACUUAAUUUUAAAAUGGGGGAUGGAAGUCACUGCUUGGAGAGCAGUCAAGGUAGGUGGUCCCAGUAUGGCGUUGUAGGCCGAAUCUACAUGCACAACACAAAAUUUACAUGUUAUUUCUACCUAUUGUGGAGCAGUACCGAAGAUAACCGGUAGCUCAAUAGUUCUUGCCACUUUGACUGGAUCGUUGCUAAAGCCAUAUAGGGGAGCCUCCUGUCCAACCUCCAUCUUUCGCUUAUCAAGAUGCAUCCUCUGAUAGGCAUGUGCAUACAGAAUAUCCACAGAAGACCCGUUGUCUAUCAUCAUUCGCUUCAUAUCAACCGAACUCACUUGUGCUGUAAUCACCAAAGCUCCUUCAUGGGGUUCGAUGGGCUCCGAAGGAUAAUCUGCAUCACUGAAGGAUAUAACUGUCCCUGGAAACGGUCUAUCGAUCUUCGGGAGAGCACCCGCCACGGACAUGACCGAAUCCAGAUAUCCCCUCCUCUUCUUCCCCACCAGCUUCCCUGCUGUCCCACCGGUUAUUACAUUAACGACGUGCCUUGGUGGUGUUGUUGAAGCAGUUUGGACGGGUGGAACCGUUUGAAUCGUCUGAACAGUAUGGUCAACAUUCUGCUGAUCUUGUUGGUCCCUCCCGGCCACAUAUUGAACCAGUAAACCGCUUUGAACCUUCCUCUCCACAAAAUCUUUCAAAUUGCAACACUCAUUAAUGUCAUGACCUACAGCUUGAUGAUAGCCACAAUAUUUUCGAGCAUUGCCUUGUCCUGGCUUAUAGUUAUCACGAGGUGGUUCAAAGAACGGUUGGCCCCUGAUAUGAUCCAAAAUCACCGACCUAUCCGUAUUCAGUUUGGUGUAAACCUUGUUUACCUUCGGGGUGGGAGCAAGUGGGCGACUACUCCCCUGUCGCCAUGUGUUGUUAUACUUCUUCGAGCUGCCCUCUGGCUGAUCAUUAUACCCUCCUACCUUCUUCUGAUCGCCUUCAGCCUUAGGAGUAUCUACCUCCUUCAUUCGAUCCGAAGAAGGACGUUUUAGGCUAUUCAUAGCCUCCUCCACCACAAUGUAGCCUUUUGUUUUGUCAAAAACUCCGGCCAAGCUCUUCGGAUGGUGAAACAUCAGCUUCUUCACCAACUUUUCGGACUUCACUAGAUCUAGCCCGUUCUGAAACAACCCUACAGCCUGAAGAUCAUUUAGGUCGGACACUUGGCCAACGGCUUCUCUGAACCUCUUCACAUACUGGCCCAAGGACUCAUUGGUAAACUGUCGGACCUGUGCUAAAGAACCCGUAGGCUUCCCUCUUCUUCGAUUGCUCCCAAAACGAUCAUGGAAUUUGUCACACAGCUCGGACCAUGACGAGACCGAGUCCGCAGGUAAAGUUCCCAUCCACUGCCUUGCAUCCUUCCUUAAUGUUGUAACAAACGUAUGACACUUGACAGCAUCGGUAAAAUCAUAAUAAUCCAUCAGCCGAUCGAACGUCUAGCUAUGGUCAUAAAGGUCUCCAGACCCAUCGUAACUCUCCAUAUGAGACAACUUCUUGGUGGUGUCUGCCUUCUCCUUAAGAAUGUCCGAGGAAAAAGGGGACGCCUUCUUUUCCGGAGUAUCUUUCACCUGUUGAACCUCAGCCAACUACUUCCAGAGCUCCUUCAACUCCUUCACCAAGAAGUCCACACUUUCUGGCUGCGAGGAGAUCUCUUUCUCCUGAAUAACCUUCUGCUUCUGAGUGGAUCGACCUCUUUUGUCUGAUCCCACUGCCUUUGAUAGGCUUCUGGACUUACUUCGGCGCGUGGCCCUGUCAUCGCAGUGAGAGUGCUCAUGACGCUACUCUCCCCUUCUACUAUCUGGCACGAUCUCCCUCGACCUACUCCUAUGUCUGCCACCAUCUCGACCUCGAGAACCAACGACAAUAAGUGCCCUCUUCGAUGCCUCAGGAGUUCUGUUCCUCGAUCUCCUUCGGUCAUGAGAACGGCCUUGAGACAUAUGCACGGAAUGUUCCGGCUCCUUCCCCUCUCGCCGUUGUACCUCCUUAUACCUGCUACGCCUCUCGGACUGGACAUAAGUAGAUGCCUCGUCUUUCAGAUCGGUCAUCCGAAGCAUGUGCACAGCUAUAUCUUCCCUCUGCUUCAGAAAGACCCCUAAAGCUUUAUCUGCCUCCUUUGCCAUCUUCGCCAACUUGGCAGUUUUGUCAUCUCGACCACUUCGGUGGUGAGUUUUAGGUGGAGAACCCUCCACAUGCCUCCGAUCCUGAUCACGGUCUUUAUCAUCAGCAAACACCAACCUCCGUCUGGCUCCGCCAUGAGCUCUCGGACGAGAACCCUUGGAAUCACGUUUGGAAGCAGUGCUCUCACUCUCAUGAGCACUCUUUGAAGGACCCAGACGAUCCUUAACAGAAAUGUGUUGGACAUAUGAGCUUACAGCCCUCGGCUGUCCUUCCGGUGUAUCUGCUCUACUCCUCACCAUCUUCCGAAGUAAAAUAAAUGAAAACUUGUGAUUGAAAAACUCAAUGACACUAGAACACAACCCUCCUUCUAGCGCCAAUGUUAACGCCAAGAUCUUUCCACGCGCCUCAAUCACGUAACACGCGUCUAUAUCCUGCACAGUAAACACGACAACACCAAAAGCUUGACGGCUUCGACCGUCGAGGGAUAGCUCCGGCAUGAGAGUCAGUACAGGCGAUCACAAGGUUAACAAUGGAGGAUAAAAUCUCUAGUGUAUUGAGAGAGAGAAUUAUUAGUUGUUAGUGUGUAUACCUUUUUCUUGAAGACUUCCUUGCUAUGUUAUGCUCUCUAGCCCGGUUUACCGUGCCACCCACUACCUCUAACACAGCCCCCUGAUCUGAUGAUUUCUGCCGACUAGGUACAAUCCACCCACUACUUGUAGUCACUGUUUGUUACCGCCGACCGUCCAAGAAUUCCAUCCACAUUAAUACAUGACAGAUACAAUAGUCAACUGUCAUAUUUUUUUUUCAUUACCGGUUAAAGAUGAAGAUAUUUAAUAUUUAAUGGGUCAGCCCACUAAUCCGACUCGGUCUUAUAAGGACUCGACAGGAAUAAGAUGGUGACUAAGUCUAAUAACUUUUAAGACCCAAUAGUAAUGGACUAACUAAAUAAAUAAGCUCAACUUAUUCGGUCCAAUAGGAGAAAUAUCAUAACCCAACAAUAGAGAAAUGAGGAAAGCUAAGGCUCAGAUUUGUAAUAUAUCAGGCAAGAGGGUGACACCGCCAUGGCUGCAACCAACAGUUGCAUGAGAGAGAAAAAAGACUAGACUAACCAAUCGAUCUCUCGCAUACCCUCCGAGUCACUCCGCCAAGAUACGGGUCACAUUCUCUCAAUGCCCGAUUUAACUCAGAAAAUUGAUUCAUCAUCACAGCCUCUUGCGUAGUUUUUCUUUUCUUUUCUUUUUGACAAGCCUAUGGCUCUUAUAUAGUAGUUCUAGCAGCAGCAGCAGCACAAUAAUAGAAGUUGAGCUGAAUGGGUUUGAAUGAAGAAGAAUAAACACAGGUAGAAAUAUCAGUUUCCUAUAUAUAUACACACACACUCUAGAGGGUUGUUGAUUUGGGUAACUGGAAAAUGAAAUCAUAGGCCCAAUAAAUGAAUGAUCGGAAGAAGAUGAUUCAAUUUAACAGAGAGGGGCAACCACCCUUAGAAACUUCCCUUCUUUCUGGAGCCUCAUUCUUUUUUUCUGAGUUUUUCAUGCCCUAAUUUUUGCCCCCUACAACUCUGGUUAAAUAAGUGCCCUGUUUUGUUUUUCUUCCAUAAGGGUACUUUCGUCACUACAUUUUUGAGCGCUUGGGUAUCUCAGUAUUCUGUAACAC